Molecule: transfer RNA, 58 nt
Filed under: Canis lupus familiaris (dog)
Lineage: Eukaryota; Metazoa; Chordata; Mammalia; Carnivora; Canidae
Also listed under: 1 other name
Rfam family: tRNA
About the family: Transfer RNA (tRNA) molecules are approximately 80 nucleotides in length. Their secondary structure includes four short double-helical elements and three loops (D, anti-codon, and T loops). Further hydrogen bonds mediate the characteristic L-shaped molecular structure. tRNAs have two regions of fundamental functional importance: the anti-codon, which is responsible for specific mRNA codon recognition, and the 3' end, to which the tRNAs corresponding amino acid is attached (by aminoacyl-tRNA synthetases). tRNAs cope with the degeneracy of the genetic code in two manners: having more than one tRNA (with a specific anti-codon) for a particular amino acid; and 'wobble' base-pairing, i.e. permitting non-standard base-pairing at the 3rd anti-codon position.
Source: Rfam by way of RNAcentral
UGGCUCAGUUGGUAGAGCAUGUGACUCUUGAUCUCAGGGUCGUGGGUUCGAGCCCCAC